GGGAUAACCGCAGCCUUGAGAGGAUUGUCAAGCAACAUCCAUUCAAGAAUUUGGGAGAGCUUCACAAGCAGUGGACUGAAGCUGGAGUUGGCGCAACAAGAGCCACUACGCACAGACAAAUCCUAGACAUGGGCUACAAAUGUCACAUUCCUCGUGUCAAGCCACUGAACCAGAGACAACAUCAGAAGCGUCUUACCUGGGCUAAGGAGAAAAAGGACUGGACUGUUGCUCAGUGGUCCAAAGUCCUUUUCAGAUGAAAGCAAUUUUUAGAAUUUUAUUUGGAAAUAAAGGUCCCAGGGUCUGGAGAAAGAGAGUGGAGAGGCACAGAAUCCAUGUUGCUUGAAGUCCAGUGUGAAGUUUCCACAGUCAGUGAUGAUUUGGGGAGCCAUUGUCAUCUGGUAGUGUUGGUCCACUGUGUUUUCUGAAGUGCACAGUCAACACAGCCAUCUACCAGGACAUUUUAGAGCACUUCACGCUUCCUUCUGCUGACAAGCUUUUAUGGGGAUGCUGAUUUCAGUUUCCAGCAGGACUUGGCACCUGCCCACACAGCCAAAGGUACCAAAAGCUGGUUCAGUGACCAUGGUGUUACUGUGCUUAAUUGGCCAGCAUAGAGAAUCUGUGGGGUAUUGUCAAGAGGAAGAUGAGAGACACCAGACCCAACAAUGCAGAUGACCUGAAGGCUGCCAUCAAAGCAACCUGGGCUUCCAUUACACCUGAGCAGUGCCACACACUGAUCGCUUCCAUGCCACACUGCACUGAUGCAGUAAUUCAUGCAGAAGGAGGCCCAACCAAGUACUACAUGAGCUGUUGUUGCUGUUUCUACUGUCCCCUGUGUCUCUCUCUCUCUCUCUCUACCUCUCUCUCUCUCUACCUCUACCUUUCUGUCUGAGAUGGCGUGUGAGUGAGCAGCUGAGAGCGUUUUUCGAUUCAACUUUUUUCUAACUUUUGUUUCUUUUCUACUUUACUGAAUGAUCAUUGUUUGGAUUAUUUGUUGAUAACUUUUGGUUAAAUAGUUUAGUGGUUUUUGUGGUUUUUUUUCGUGGCGAGGAUGGCGUCCUCUGAGAUGCAACCUCCGCCAGCGUCCCUGAGACACAGCGUGAGGCUGGGGCCACUGCCGGACUCCUCUGUGGAGCAGGUCCUGUUGGCUGUGGGAGACCAGCUCGGCCACAGGAGUAUCUCCCAUGCCUCCCGCAUGAACAAAGCCGUGGUUGUGUUUUCAAAGAUCAGAGCUUAGUCACCACACUUAUUGAGACUGGAUUAACCUUUUAAUGAGGAGUUCAUUCAAGUUUCCCCGCUGGCUGUGCCGUCCACGUGGAUCACCGUGUCCGGCGUCCCUCCAUUCAUUCCGAAUGAAGCACUGGAACGGGAGCUCAAGCAUUUCGGUAAGUUUGCGAGUGGUUUGCGUACUGUUGCUUUAGGGUGUAAGGAUGCCAAGCUCAGGGCCAGAUUAUGGGGGGUCUGGGCCCGGGGGCCAGGAAUUUGCAAAGCCCCCCCACCCCCACCCCUGCGCCAACCUACCGUACCUAAGGAUUCUACAAAAGUUUCUUUCUGCUCUUCCUUCUUGCAAAGUCAUCCACUAACAGAUAAAAGUUGAGCUUUCGAACAAACUCUGAUUCUAUUGCAAGAAGGGAGAGUGAAUUCAACCGAUUUUGGCACAUUUUCAUCCUGAGCUCAUUUUUUAUUUGAGCCAGUCUGGAGAAUGACCGUUCCCCUUCACAGUUUGUUAUUGGCAGGGUCAAAAACAGUCUGAGUGCUAUAUAAACAUUUGGGAAAGUGGACUGUAAAUCCAAAUUUACCAUGGUCUUUAGCAUUGUAUUUGGGUAUUUUUGUUCUUCUGAAAUGAAUGAUUUGUACUGAACAAGUUCAUCUGCCAAGCUCAUGGUCAGAUCAGUGGGAUAUGCUGCAGCAAUAGAUUGCAUUGCUUUCAGCACUCAGUAUUUCCACACAUUUUCUGCAAGGAAAUGCAGUUUUUCUAGUUUCCACUUCCUAAUUUGUUCACUGCAAAUACAGUAGCCCUUACAAUGGCUUUAAGUCUAGUUAAGGUACACUAUUAUUACAAUACAAUACAAUACAAUUCAAUUCAAUGUCAAUGAGCUUUUUAAUAGGGUGCUGGGUGCUAAAUCUGAUAGUCAAGGAAAGGUUUUAAUGUCAGAAUGUUGUUAGGAGUUUCAAUAAAUGGAUUUAACAAUAUUGGAUUUUCACUGCCAUUUCUGCCAUGUGAGGAGUUUCGAUAAAAGCAAUGCCGAGUGUAAUGUGGGAGUGUUGUAUUGAUAUUGGAUUUUCACUUGGACUUCACUUUGUUGGCAUUGGUGUGUAAAGUACACCCCUUUACGGUGGGGACAUAAGGAAGCAAAAUCUGCAAAGUGAAGCGGGGCGAAACUCAUUUUUCUUAAGGUGAAUAUCUACCAGUCUACUUCUCUCCUCGAAGAUA
Molecule: non-coding RNA, 2431 nt
Organism: Xyrichtys novacula (pearly razorfish)
Lineage: Eukaryota; Metazoa; Chordata; Actinopteri; Labriformes; Labridae
Source: the annotation of a GenBank genome assembly